AACGCAUAUUGCGCUCUCCGGUGAUCCGGGGAGCAUGCCUGUUUGAGGAGUCUUGUCAACCAUCCUAGCUUCUGCUCUGGCCGUACGGCCGGUUGCAUCGGCUAGAACUCUUUAUUGAAAUGGACAAGAUUGAUUUGAGCUUUUUUCCGGCGUGAGUCGGAUAGCUCUAAAUACAAAUAAACCACUACUCCUAGGAUUUCGCCGUUUUCCACGGUCGAGCCCCAUCCACAAGGAGACUUGGGAACUUUCGCGACUUGUACGGUGUGCGCUUGCGUACCUGUGCAGGAGCAUGAGCAGAUCGAUAAAACUUCUCGCUCAAAGUUUUCCUUAGCCUUGUUAAGAUAUAUUUCUCUCGUAAAAAUGUUUUAACUACUAAGGAAGAUGAGAAGACAAUACAAGAUCUGAGCGUGUGUGUUAGUGCCCCGAGGCUCUGAGGAAGGGACCCGGCCGAGGAUUAUGACGGCGACGAUUCUAGUUCUAUUCUCCUCAAAUCAAGCAAGAGUACCCGCUGAACUUAA
RNAcentral lists this unclassified non-coding RNA (518 nucleotides) under uncultured fungus. RNAcentral's name for it is "partial contains 5.8S ribosomal RNA, internal transcribed spacer 2, and large subunit ribosomal RNA". The record is from RNAcentral. Lineage: Eukaryota; Fungi.